GAUGAACGCUAGCGGCAGGCCUAAUACAUGCAAGCCGAACGGGAUCUGAGGGUAGCUUGCUACCCGAUUUGAGAGUGGCGCACGGGUGCGUAACGCGUGAGCAGCCUACCCAUAUCAGGGGGAUAGCCCGAAGAAAUUCGGAUUAACACCGCAUAACAAUACGUUAACACAUGUUCAUGUAUUUAAAUAUUUAUAGGAUAUGGAUGGGCUCGCGUGACAUUAGCUAGUUGGUAAGGUAACGGCUUACCAAGGCGACGAUGUCUAGGGGCUCUGAGAGGAGAGUCCCCCAAACUGGUACUGGGACACGGACCAGACUCCUACGGGAGGCAGCAGUAAGGAAUAUUGGUCAAUGGGCGCAAGCCUGAACCAGCCAUGCCGCGUGCAGGAUGACUGCCCUAUGGGUUGUAAACUGCUUUUGUUAGGGAAUAAACCUACUUAUGUAUAAGUAGCUGAAUGUACCUAAAGAAUAAGGAUCGGCUAACUCCGUGCCAGCCGCCGCCGUAA
This 504-nucleotide ribosomal RNA is filed under the name uncultured bacterium. RNAcentral's name for it is "partial 16S ribosomal RNA". It matches the Rfam family "Bacterial small subunit ribosomal RNA", at positions 28 to 523 of the family's 1533-position model. The record is from RNAcentral.